Cajanus cajan (pigeon pea) is the source of this 171-nucleotide long non-coding RNA. RefSeq lists it as uncharacterized. Lineage: Eukaryota; Viridiplantae; Streptophyta; Magnoliopsida; Fabales; Fabaceae. The record is from RefSeq and is a predicted model, not a curated record.
CUGGGUAUCCUUGUUGAAAAAGAACUGGCAGAAUGUUAGGUGCUUGUAUCCGAAGAGUACCAUGGGAAAAUCUUACCGUGUCUUUUGAGGGAUUUCUUUUUUCAUUUCGGUGAAUUUGUGAUCGCGCUUGAUACAUUAUCUUAAUAGCUAGAUACAAAUUUUCAUCUUGUU